GUUGGUUGACGAAAUAUCUUUACAGGGUUACAUCUACCGAGGUGGGAGAUCAGAGGUGUCUCGCCAAUCCCGCAAUUUCUGUUCUAGCAACGUUGCAGGCUUCAAUGAAGCCGGAAGAGGAAGAUUUUUCUCCGCGGCAGCGGCAUGGUGGAAUAGUGUUACUUUAUUCGAUGGGUUUCUUGUUGGAUCUGGUUGUUACACUGGUUACGAACUGAUUAGGGUCUUUAACGAAUAUAUGAUUUCGAAGAGAGCUCAGGAAGAAUUGGAUAUCCGGGCACAACUUCAUAACGACAUGGUAUCCAAGGUGAUGCGUGAUGCAGGUGUGUUAGAUGAAUGAAUGAAUCAACGACAAUGGAGAAGGAGAAGAGCAAUGUCAACAUGGACUUUUGUGUUUUGUUGUAAAGAGUCUAAUAAGUGUGUACGAGUGGUUGUUGAGAGUUGUUGUUGUAGUGUGGCUUGUGUGUAAGAAAGCAAGCCGGGCCUUUCUAAUGUGAUGCUCUUAAGUAUGGGAGCAUGUAGAAGUAGUUAGUAUAAGUAUGAUGUGUGUGUUGUAAGAAACUAUCCUUGAUAUCCGAAAAUACA
Molecule: non-coding RNA, 582 nt
Organism: Camelina sativa (false flax)
Lineage: Eukaryota; Viridiplantae; Streptophyta; Magnoliopsida; Brassicales; Brassicaceae
Source: RefSeq, a predicted model, not a curated record